AAUGUAUGAUGCCGUUGAUCUUUCGACAAACGUUUGACCUUUCGUCUUAUUCAAAAAAAUUAUGUAAUUAUAAUUUAUUUUAUUGUGACUUGAUUUAUCAUCAAAUAUUUUUUAAGCAAGACAUAAGUAUUUUUAUAUUUGCAUAAAAAAUUUGAAUAAGACGAGUGGUCAAACGUUGGUCAAAAAGUCAACGGCGUCAUACAUU
Oryza sativa Indica Group (long-grained rice) is the source of this 205-nucleotide microRNA precursor. It matches the Rfam family "MIR812 microRNA precursor family". Lineage: Eukaryota; Viridiplantae; Streptophyta; Magnoliopsida; Poales; Poaceae. The record is from Rfam.